UCUCUCUCUCUCUCUCUCUCAUGAAUCUCUCUGAUUCAUUCAACAGAAACCUGUAACAGAAAUUCACAAAAAGAAUCCAACCUCUAUCAAUUCUUCAACCUUCUCUCUCUCUAAUGAAUCUCGUUAACCACCUUCAUCGCUCAAUCUCCAACCUUCAACACUUCAGCAAUCUUCAUCCACGCUUCGACAUCAUCAUCAUCACCACAACUUCAACAACUCUGUAUAACAACAAUACAAGAACGUGAUCGUCGCAAGCAUCAAUACGCAGAAAACGAAACGAAAGGAAGAAGGAAAAUAGAGUAUGAGAUUCACCGGAUUCUGGAUUUCUAGUCGUCGCACUUGUAUCGGACUUGUCUCUGAAUAAUAGAGUUGAGACGAAGGUUUGAAAACAGAGUAGGAGAGUGUGAGGCGGAGAGCGGCCUUGAGUUCAUCAGAGAAGAAGGAUUCUUCAUCCACGUCGUUUGAGAGACUGAGAUGGAGAGUUUGAUCGAGAGAUGUGCGUUCAGAUGAGAUGGAAGGAGUGAGAGACUUGAUUCGAAGGCGAUGGUGGCCGAAGAUUUGCUCUUCAUCGGAGAAGGUUGAGAUCUCCAUUUGCGCCGUCGGAAUUUGAGAAAGGAGGAUGAGAGACCCGAAGCAAGAUGUGAGAUGAGGAAGGGAUCGACGUCCUGUUUUGCUCACGGAGGCGAUGAGGAUCGGAGAGGAUGAGUUUCCCGGCGCUGUUCCGCCGUUUCUGAGGAAGAGGAAUUUUCUUCCACGUGAAUCCAAUGGGUUUUAGAGAUUUUGGAAAGAGGGAGUUGUCAUAAUGAAGAGACAAGAAUAGAGGAGAAAGAGGCAAGACUAUGGAGAAGAAGAAGAAGCUUGAAGUUUUUUCAUCCAUGGUGUCAAGUAAAGAUGCAAUUAAAGACCCAUUGAGUUGCUUCCAUUGAUUAAGGUAUUCAAGUAUGAAGAUUUAGUUGCCGUUACUCGAGUCGGUUGUCGCUCUGAUACGUAGCACUCUGGGGGGAACGAUUUAUGUCAUUAAUGAUGUUGUUGUUUAAUUGUGUUAUCUUGGUUGAACAAAAUGAUAAGUUAACUGAAGAUAUUUUAUUGAAUACUUGUUUAAGUGAUUCUGCUGUGUUUUAA
Long non-coding RNA from Vicia villosa (hairy vetch), 1122 nucleotides. RefSeq lists it as uncharacterized. NCBI's taxonomy places the organism in Eukaryota, Viridiplantae, Streptophyta, Magnoliopsida, Fabales, Fabaceae. The transcript has 3 exons. The record is from RefSeq and is a predicted model, not a curated record.